CCCUUAGAUGUUCUGGGCCGCACGCGCGCUACACUGACGAAUGCAACGAGCUUAUAACCUUGGCCGAAAGGUCUGGGUAAUCUCCAAAUUUCGUCGUGAUGGGGAUAGAUUAUUGCAAUUAUUAAUCUUCAACGAGGAAUGCCUAGUAAGCGCAAGUCAUCAGCUUGCGUUGAUUACGUCCCUGCCCUUUGUACACACCGCCCGUCGCUCCUACCGAUUGAAUGGUCCGGUGAAGCGUUCGGACCGUGGCCUUUGGACGGUUCGCCGUCUGUUGGCUGCGGGAAGUUCGUUAAACCUUAUCAUUUAGAGAAAGGAGAAGUCGUAACA
This 327-nucleotide ribosomal RNA is filed under the name uncultured eukaryote. RNAcentral's name for it is "partial 18S ribosomal RNA". It matches the Rfam family "Eukaryotic small subunit ribosomal RNA", at positions 1470 to 1796 of the family's 1831-position model. The record is from RNAcentral.